GUGUGACGUCAUAGAGAGGCGGGGCUUUGGCGCCAGAGGGCUGCCCCUCGGCCGGUGACCGAGUUAAGCACCGAGCUGUAAAUCGCUUGAGACCUGUAUUUGGUUGUUUUGUUGGUUUUGCCAAGUAAGGUCACUUGAGGAUUUCUUGGCUCGAGGUCCCAGGUUGCGCAGACUCUGACUGCAUCGAGUUGAGAAUUUUGGUCAGAAUGUUAAAGUGGAAACCUACCCCAGGCUGUCAUGAGAUGGGGUCCCACUAUAUUGACCAGGCUGGUCUGUAACUCCGGGCCUCAAGGGAUCUUCCCAACUCCACCUCUCAAAGUGCUGGAUUACAGCCUGAGCCACUGGACCUGGCUACUGUCCAUUCUUUGAUGAAGACAAAGUUUACCCUGAAAUCCUGUUCAGGAUCUGUUCCUCAUUUGCAGUCUUUAUUUCUCUACACACCUGUUUUCCCCAAAGUCUUAGAACUGCAAGAGGAGCCUGGCUUGGCCGUGCUGG
This 495-nucleotide long non-coding RNA is filed under the name Homo sapiens (human). Its description in RNAcentral is "HSALNT0373331". The record is from RNAcentral. Lineage: Eukaryota; Metazoa; Chordata; Mammalia; Primates; Hominidae.